AGUCUACGGGAGGCAGCAGUAGGGAAUCUUCCGCAAUGGACGCAAGUCUGACGGAGCAACGCCGCGUGAGUGAAGAAGGUCUUCGGAUCGUAAAGCUCUGUUGAUGGGGACGAAUGUGCGUGAUGCGAAUAGUGUCAUGCAAUGACGGUACCUAUCGAGGAAGCCACGGCUAACUACGUGCCAGCAGCCGCGGUAAUGACU
Molecule: ribosomal RNA, 201 nt
Filed under: uncultured bacterium
Lineage: Bacteria
Description: partial 16S ribosomal RNA
Rfam family: Bacterial small subunit ribosomal RNA
Source: RNAcentral